RNAcentral lists this ribosomal RNA (754 nucleotides) under uncultured bacterium. Its description in RNAcentral is "bacterial SSU rRNA". It matches the Rfam family "Bacterial small subunit ribosomal RNA", at positions 93 to 860 of the family's 1533-position model. The record is from RNAcentral.
CAGUGGCGAACGGGUGAGUAACACGUGAGCAAUCUGCCCUGACUCUGGGAUAAGCGCUGGAAACGGCGUCUAAUACCGGAUACGAGCUGCGAAGGCAUCUUCAGCAGCUGGAAAGAAUUUCGGUCAGGGAUGAGCUCGCGGCCUAUCAGCUUGUUGGUGAGGUAAUGGCUCACCAAGGCGUCGACGGGUAGCCGGCCUGAGAGGGUGACCGGCCACACUGGGACUGAGACACGGCCCAGACUCCUACGGGAGGCAGCAGUGGGGAAUAUUGCACAAUGGGCGAAAGCCUGAUGCAGCAACGCCGCGUGAGGGAUGACGGCCUUCGGGUUGUAAACCUCUUUUAGCAAGGAAGAAGCGAAAGUGACGGUACUUGCAGAAAAAGCGCCGGCUAACUACGUGCCAGCAGCCGCGGUAAUACGUAGGGCGCAAGCGUUAUCCGGAAUUAUUGGGCGUAAAGAGCUCGUAGGCGGUCUGUCGCGUCUGCUGUGAAAACCCGAGGCUCAACCUCGGGCCUGCAGUGGGUACGGGCAGACUAGAGUGCGGUAGGGGAGAUUGGAAUUCCUGGUGUAGCGGUGGAAUGCGCAGAUAUCAGGAGGAACACCGAUGGCGAAGGCAGAUCUCUGGGCCGUAACUGACGCUGAGGAGCGAAAGGGUGGGGAGCAAACAGGCUUAGAUACCCUGGUAGUCCACCCCGUAAACGUUGGGAACUAGUUGUGGGGUCCAUUCCACGGAUUCCGUGACGCAGCUAACGCAU